This 253-nucleotide ribosomal RNA is filed under the name uncultured bacterium. RNAcentral's name for it is "partial 16S ribosomal RNA". It matches the Rfam family "Bacterial small subunit ribosomal RNA", at positions 524 to 776 of the family's 1533-position model. The record is from RNAcentral.
UACGUAGGUGACCAGCGUUGUCCGGAUUUACUGGGCGUAAAGAGCGCGCAGGCGGUCGUUCAAGUCGAGUGUGAAAGCCCCCGGCUCAACUGGGGAGGGUCAUUCGAUACUGAUCGACUCGAAGGCAGGAGAGGGAAGUGGAAUUCCCGGUAUAGUGGUGAAAUGCGUAGAUAUCGGGAGGAACACCAGUGGCGAAGGCGACUUCCUGGCCUGUUCUUGACGCUGAGGCGCGAAAGCUAGGGGAGCAAACGGG